AAUAGUCAGACACAAACUUGUGGCCAGUGAGGACAGUCAUCUACACACCUUACCCUUCACUCAUGAGAGGAAGAACAAUGGCUGUGAUCCACAAUCCCGUGAUCUAGAAGACUGCCAGCAGAAAUGAGGGCUUUCAGCACUUUCCCAAGGACUUCGUCUAAACAUCACGGCCUCUUCCCUUUCUUCUUCCUUGACUAUUUUGAUAAAGGAGUCUAUGCUUCACCACUGGCAGAUGGUGUUACAGAGUUUCUGUGAGGUCAUGAGGAAGCCUGCUAAAUAGAUUGUUCAGUAUUUAGUAUCUCACUGUUACAAAGAUCAUAUUUGACAGGCUAUUUAGCUAAAAACAAGGAAAAAGAAGACAAUCUUGCAAAAGUAGCUGUUG
RNAcentral lists this long non-coding RNA (382 nucleotides) under Marmota monax (woodchuck). Lineage: Eukaryota; Metazoa; Chordata; Mammalia; Rodentia; Sciuridae. The record is from RNAcentral.